AUGCGUGCCAUGCCGUACGUUACUUGACUGAAACAUAUAAAAGCAUGCCUGAUUUCUAAAGCCCAUCGAUGAUAGCAGAUUGAUGAUCCGGACUGCAAUAUACAAAUUAAUCAUGAUUGGCUUCCAAGUGAACUAAGUGUGUGUUCGUUUGAAUCACUACUAAAAAACCAACCGGCUUAUAGAUGCCGAUUCAUUUAAAACUGAUACUUAUAAGUCUUUUCCCACCUCCGAUAUCUUUAAUUAAGAAAUAUAGGUGCCGGUUUAUUAGUUAAAACUGAUACGGUUAGUUAAAAAACUAACACCUAUAAUAUAAUAACCUAUAAUAUAUUAUAGGUAUCAGUUCUGUAAAAAAACCAGCACCUAUUCUAAAUCAAGCCGAUCUAGGCGAGACGAGCCGAUCGACCUGGCCUAUCUACGCGCGUUGCUCGAUCCUUAUCCUUAUCCCCUCCCCCCCCCCCGGGCUCUUCUGUGCGCUCUCCCCCUCGCCCCUUCCUCCGCCACGCCCUCCCCUCCCCCUCCCCUUUGGCCCCCCUCCCCCCUCUCCUCCUCCUCCGAUCCGCCAUACUCCCCUCCCGCCCCCUCCUAACUGGCGAGCAGUGUCGCCUGCGAUGGGCGGCCUCCCCACCGGCGGCGACCUCAGCGUGGGGAGGGAUGUAUGGGUGCGGCGACCUCGGCAUGGACAGGGACCUAGCGGCUGGCGACGAUCUCGUGCGGAGAGGGACCCGGUGGCUAGCGGCCACCUCAUGUGGAGAGGGACCUCGGCGGCGACCUCGUGCGGAGAGGGACCUCGGCGGUGACCUCACAUGGAGAGGGACCCCGGCGGUGACCUUGGUGGAUUGACGAGUGAGUUUGUGCAUCUUGCUUGUGUUCUUCAUCUGUGAUGGGAACUAUUGUUGUUUGUUGUUGAUGAUUUGUGAUGGAGAUUGUUGAUGUUCAUAUCUGUGAUUGGUGAUGGAUUGAAUUAGGGAUUGCUUGAAUGGAGAUUAUUAUUGUUCAUCUGCUUGAUUUGUGAUAUGUGAAAGCAUGCUUGAAUGGGGAUUAUUGAUGCGCAUCGGCUCGGCUUGGAGCCAGCUUCUUUUUUUUUUUUAAUCCGGAAGAGCACAAAGGUGACGGUUCUAUGACUGGCACCAAUAACACUAGGUCAUUGGUGCUGACCAAUUGGUGUCGGCUAGGAAACCGGCACCUAUUACCCGUUCCCAACCGGCACCUAUAGGGGAAUAUGUGCUUCGAUGCAAAGCACUACACACGAGUACACGGUACAUGGCUAUGUUCUUUCCCGAUCUUUCCUAACUCACCUUCUUCGUUUUUUGCGCGCAUGCUUCCCAAAGUACUAAACGGUGCGUAUUUUGAAAAAAAAUUCUAUAGAAAAGUUAUUUUAAAAAUUAAAUUAAUCUAUUUUUAAAAUUUAUUUCAGCUAAUAUUUAAUAAAUCAUGCACUAACCGCCACUCUGUUUUGCGUGUUGGGAGCUAGGGUUGUCAACCCUCACUCACUUCCGAACUCAGCCAUACAGGGCAGUUGCUCUGCUCAGAACAGAACAGCAUGUCCAGCAACCAGGCUUCUUCAUCAAAGAAUCAACCAGGCAAGGCACCUGCAAAAUCUGCAAUCACUUUCAGCUUUUUACAGAGCUGCUGCUGUUGAAACUUCGUUCUUGUUAGUUAACUUCUCUGAAAAUCCUGAAACUUGGUACUCACAUAGACUUAAAUCUGAAUCUGUGUACGUUUACGCGGUACAUGACGGGAUGCGUUUUAAGCAUUCUCAUAAUUAUAAAUUUAUAACAUGCAGAGAGGCCUAUUAUGUUUUAUUAUACAUGUAAAUUGGUUUUUGAUGAUGAAAGUGAAGUGAACUGAACCGGUGUCAGGAUACGCGUUGACGUUGUACUACUCGUACGUUCGUAGCGUGUGGCUGCAUAUGCAAUUGCAUUUAUAGUAUGCUAUAUUACACGUUGACACGCCUAUACCCACGCGGACUUGUAUUCCGUCAACGGGACAUUCUCUCGAUCGAUAAAGCUCCACAUUAAACUCUAUCCAUUUUUUAAUAUAUGAUGCCGUUAAUUUUUUUUGAUACGUUUGAUUAUUCGUUUUAUUUAAAAGAAUUAUCUAAUUAUUAUUUAUUUUAUUGCGAUUUGAUUCAUCGUCAAAUAUUCAUUAAACAUGACUUAAUAUUUUUAUAUCUGUAAAAAAGUUUUGAAUAUGACAAAUAGUCAAACAUUUGUCGAAAAAUCAACGACACUGUAUAUUAAAAAAUAGAGGUAAUAUGAUGUCAGUUGCCAAAGAUCGAUGUUCUAAUUGUUGUCUUUAGUAUUAUCCAUAAAAGGUAGCUGUCUCAAGUGUUGAACAUACUCAUUUACUUAGUCCUACAUAAAUCGUGCACAUGUUGACUUCGUAAAAUAAUACACACGGCUGUGUUAGAUAGUGCAGAAAUGCUGAGCUAGUUAGUUGCACGGGAACCAAAACAGAUUGUUAACGUAUGAUUAAUUAAGCAUGAACUUAAAAGAAAUAAAUACUAACUAUUAUUUACUUGCAAAAUAAAUAAAUUUAUUUUUGAAACAGCUUCUAUAUAAAAAGUUUUUCACAAAACACACCAUUUAAUAGAUCGGCCGGGAAACAUGCUUAUGAUAAAUGAGGAAGUAGCCCACUCAAUAAACGGUUAAAAACACAAUCUAAUUAAGCAAGAACAGUAUGAAUGUUAUUUUUUCUUUUUUUCUUCCUUCAUUAGUAUAACAUAUUUUGAAACAGAAACUGUAUGCUUUAAUUUCACAAUAUUAAUUAGCCCAAGCCUAUGGAUUGCUCAAAAUCAAGGGGUACACCAAACAGAUAAAGACAAUAAGAAAGACUAAACAUAUCUUGACACGAUUUCUACGUAUAUGUAAGCAUGCUUUGCUUUCGUC
RNAcentral lists this small RNA (2888 nucleotides) under Oryza sativa Japonica Group (Japanese rice). Its description in RNAcentral is "sRNA Os10g0451600". The record is from RNAcentral. Lineage: Eukaryota; Viridiplantae; Streptophyta; Magnoliopsida; Poales; Poaceae.